RNAcentral lists this ribosomal RNA (836 nucleotides) under Salmonella enterica. Its description in RNAcentral is "partial 23S ribosomal RNA". It matches the Rfam family "Bacterial large subunit ribosomal RNA", at positions 2107 to 2925 of the family's 2925-position model. Lineage: Bacteria; Pseudomonadati; Pseudomonadota; Gammaproteobacteria; Enterobacterales; Enterobacteriaceae. RNAcentral also lists the same sequence under 1 other name. The record is from RNAcentral.
UAGCUUGACACUGAACAUUGAGCCUUGAUGUGUAGGAUAGGUGGGAGGCUUUGAAGUGUGGACGCCAGUCUGCAUGGAGCCGACCUUGAAAUACCACCCUUUAAUGUUUGAUGUUCUAACGUGGACCCGUGAUCCGGGUUGCGGACAGUGUCUGGUGGGUAGUUUGACUGGGGCGGUCUCCUCCUAAAGAGUAACGGAGGAGCACGAAGGUUGGCUAAUCCUGGUCGGACAUCAGGAGGUUAGUGCAAUGGCAUAAGCCAGCUUGACUGCGAGCGUGACGGCGCGAGCAGGUGCGAAAGCAGGUCAUAGUGAUCCGGUGGUUCUGAAUGGAAGGGCCAUCGCUCAACGGAUAAAAGGUACUCCGGGGAUAACAGGCUGAUACCGCCCAAGAGUUCAUAUCGACGGCGGUGUUUGGCACCUCGAUGUCGGCUCAUCACAUCCUGGGGCUGAAGUAGGUCCCAAGGGUAUGGCUGUUCGCCAUUUAAAGUGGUACGCGAGCUGGGUUUAGAACGUCGUGAGACAGUUCGGUCCCUAUCUGCCGUGGGCGCUGGAGAACUGAGGGGGGCUGCUCCUAGUACGAGAGGACCGGAGUGGACGCAUCACUGGUGUUCGGGUUGUCAUGCCAAUGGCACUGCCCGGUAGCUAAAUGCGGAAGAGAUAAGUGCUGAAAGCAUCUAAGCACGAAACUUGCCCCGAGAUGAGUUCUCCCUGAGACUUUAGGUCUCCUGAAGGAACGUUGAAGACGACGACGUUGAUAGGCCGGGUGUGUAAGCGCAGCGAUGCGUUGAGCUAACCGGUACUAAUGAACCGUGAGGCUUAACCUUACAACGCCGAAG